This is a non-coding RNA of Cadophora malorum, 105 nucleotides long. The record is from the annotation of a GenBank genome assembly. NCBI's taxonomy places the organism in Eukaryota, Fungi, Ascomycota, Leotiomycetes, Helotiales, Ploettnerulaceae.
GGCGUUUUGGCUGAGUGGUUAUAGCGAUAGACUAGAACAUCCUCUCACAGGAUACUAGAUAAUCUAUUUCCCUAGGGAGCGUAGGUUCAAAUCCUGCAGACGUAU